UACCAGCACCCCGAGUGGUCGGGACGUUUAUUGGGCGUAAAGCGUCCGCAGGUGGCACUUCAAGUCUGUCGUCAAAGACCGGGGCUUAACCCUGGAAAGGCGAUGGAAACUGAAAGGCUAGAGAGAGGUAGGGGUAGAGGGAAUUCCCAGUGUAGCGGUGAAAUGCGUAGAGAUUGGGAAGAACAUCGGUGGCGAAAGCGCUCUACUGGACCUCAUCUGACACUCAGGGACGAAAGCUAGGGGAGCGAAUGGG
Molecule: ribosomal RNA, 253 nt
Filed under: uncultured bacterium
Lineage: Bacteria
Description: partial 16S ribosomal RNA
Rfam family: Bacterial small subunit ribosomal RNA (bases 27-253)
Source: RNAcentral